CAGUCGAACGGCAGCACGGGAGCAAUCCUGGUGGCGAGUGGCGAACGGGUGUGUAAUAUAUCGGAACGUGCCCAGUCGUGGGGGAUAACGCAGCGAAAGCUGUGCUAAUACCGCAUACGAUCUCUGGAUGAAAGCGGGGGACUCGUAAGAGCCUCGCGCGAUUGGAGCGGCCGAUAUCAGAUUAGCUAGUUGGUGGGGUAAAGGCCCACCAAGGCGACGAUCUGUAGCUGGUCUGAGAGGACGACCAGCCACACUGGAACUGAGACACGGUCCAGACUCCUACGGGAGGCAGCAGUGGGGAAUUUUGGACAAUGGGCGCAAGCCUGAUCCAGCAAUGCCGCGUGCAGGAUGAAGGCCUUCGGGUUGUAAACUGCUUUUGUACGGAACGAAAAGGUUUGCCUUAAUACGGUGGGCCCAUGACGGUACCGUAAGAAUAAGCACCGGCUAACUACGUGCCAGCAGCCGCGGUAAUACGUAGGGUGCGAGCGUUAAUCGGAAUUACAGGGCGUAAAGCGUGCGCAGGCGGUUAUAUAAGACAGAUGUGAAAUCCCCGGGCUCAACCUGGGACCUGCAUUUGUGACUGUAUAGCUAGAGUACGGUAGAGGGGGAUGGAAUUCCGCGUGUAGCAG
This 629-nucleotide ribosomal RNA is filed under the name uncultured bacterium. RNAcentral's name for it is "bacterial SSU rRNA". It matches the Rfam family "Bacterial small subunit ribosomal RNA", at positions 59 to 681 of the family's 1533-position model. The record is from RNAcentral.